This 465-nucleotide ribosomal RNA is filed under the name Vreelandella stevensii. Its description in RNAcentral is "partial 16S ribosomal RNA". It matches the Rfam family "Bacterial small subunit ribosomal RNA", at positions 338 to 795 of the family's 1533-position model. Lineage: Bacteria; Pseudomonadati; Pseudomonadota; Gammaproteobacteria; Oceanospirillales; Halomonadaceae. The record is from RNAcentral.
CCUACGGGAGGCAGCAGUGGGGAAUAUUGGACAAUGGGCGAAAGCCUGAUCCAGCCAUGCCGCGUGUGUGAAGAAGGCCUUCGGGUUGUAAAGCACUUUCAGUGGGGAAGAAAGCCUUGGGGCUAAUACCCUCGAGGAAGGACAUCACCCACAGAAGAAGCACCGGCUAACUCCGUGCCAGCAGCCGCGGUAAUACGGAGGGUGCGAGCGUUAAUCGGAAUUACUGGGCGUAAAGCGCGCGUAGGCGGUCUGAUAAGCCGGUUGUGAAAGCCCCGGGCUCAACCUGGGAACGGCAUCCGGAACUGUCAGGCUAGAGUGCAGGAGAGGAAGGUAGAAUUCCCGGUGUAGCGGUGAAAUGCGUAGAGAUAGGGAGGAAUACCAGUGGCGAAGGCGGCCUUCUGGACUGACACUGACGCUGAGGUGCGAAAGCGUGGGUAGCAAACAGGAUUAGAUACCCCGGUAGUC